UUGUCGCUAUGUGUCUAUUGUAAUUUUUUUCUGACUACACAGAAGAUCAGAUGAUCGGAUUACUAAUAGUACAGGUCAUUACAUCUUCCCUACAGGGUAAAUGGAAAUCCACAGGUUUUACAAACAAAUGUGUGCGAUUAAUUGUUAGUCCUGUUAUACAUUAUUUUAUUUUUAACAGAUGUUGCAAGAGUCUCAUAAAGAUCACGAAAGCAUAAAUGACAGUGCAGCAAAGGACAGCGUAGAGGACACUAGUGAAUCCGAAUCAUUUCCUCCAGCAGGGUGUGGUGUAGAUGUAGAAAGCUGUCAGACAGCAGUCCAAACACCGAAAUGGAGAUUGCCUUACAAAGGCGUGGCUGUGCAGGUGAAUGAUAGCACACCCAAAAAACUUUCAAAGAUGCAGCUGUGCAAACGGAUGAAAUUGGCUCACCUUGCACAAACUCAACAUCUCCAGAACGAGAUGACGAUCAGAAGCAGAACAAUCCUUAAAACCAGUACAAGAUGAGAUGUUAAUACAAAGUGAGGAAGUUGAGGAAAAUGAAAACAAGCUGGACCCAUUAUUUUACCCUGACACCUACCAAUCUGAUUGUUCAGAAACUUCAGAAGCUGCAGAAGAAAUCUGUAACCCCCAAAUACAGCUGAGGAGAGAAAGUUUAUAGUUUUUGAAAGUCAGCUAUUACAAUUGUUUAUAAUUGCUUUUAUAAUUAUCGCUUGCUUCAGGAUCGUAUUGGUAAGGAUUUAUGGUUUUAAAUGAUGUUAAGCAAUUAAAAUCAUAACAAUUGCUACGUAUGGUGGAGUGGAAACAGCAUGGUACUUGUUUUGUAUCUGUUUGUUCGUUUUGGCCACUGUCGUUUUGCUUAAAAAAAGUGUUUUGUGUUUAAAUCUUUUUAUUUAUAAUAAACCGGCGCAACAGCACAUUUCACUCA
Acipenser ruthenus (sterlet) is the source of this 923-nucleotide long non-coding RNA. RefSeq lists it as uncharacterized. The record is from RefSeq and is a predicted model, not a curated record. NCBI's taxonomy places the organism in Eukaryota, Metazoa, Chordata, Actinopteri, Acipenseriformes, Acipenseridae. The transcript is spliced from 3 exons.